This 291-nucleotide small nuclear RNA is filed under the name Cebus imitator (Panamanian white-faced capuchin). RNAcentral describes it as "7SK RNA (ENSCCAG00000011410.1)". It matches the Rfam family "7SK RNA". Rfam says of the family: 7SK was discovered as an abundant small nuclear RNA in the mid-70s but a possible function has only recently been suggested. Two independent studies have found that 7SK RNA binds the CDK9/cyclin T complex (known as elongation factor P-TEFb). Lineage: Eukaryota; Metazoa; Chordata; Mammalia; Primates; Cebidae. The record is from Rfam by way of RNAcentral.
UAAUGACGUCUAUUACUCCAUUGAUUACCAAGGUCGAUUCAGUUGAUGUGACUGGCUAGGUAGGUGCUACCUUCCUCCCCCACUGCUCAAUGUAUAUCCCUCCCAAGCUGUGUGCUCAGUGGAGGAGGAUGACUUUCUUCAAUGGAGGAAGAUCAUUCUUUGUUCAAGGGUAUUAGAGUAGCUGUGCUUCCUCACUAGAACCUCCAAACAAGCCACAUUUUUUUUGUCUCCCACCCCAUAAUCUCUCUCCACAUGCACAGAGACACUUUAAGUUUCAAUACGUUUGACUCU